Malus domestica (apple) is the source of this 1172-nucleotide long non-coding RNA. RefSeq lists it as uncharacterized. Lineage: Eukaryota; Viridiplantae; Streptophyta; Magnoliopsida; Rosales; Rosaceae. The record is from RefSeq and is a predicted model, not a curated record.
GUCUUCUCACUCCCACCAACCAAUAAUUUUAUUAUUUUAUUUUAACUCCCUUUCCUUUCCCUACGCCUCUCGUUCUCUCAGCUCAUUCUCAUCACUCUCCUUCUAUUUACAUUUCUCUCCUUCCCUCAAAACUCUCUCCUUUCCUCUGCACGCAAAGAGAGCUCCGAGAGCUCCAAAAACAAGUAGCUGCUGCUCCAUUUGGUUAGCAAGCAUCCAGGAACAUCCGAUAAAAUUAGAGGUUUGGUGUGUGGAGAUUGUUAGAUGUGUUAUCUUGUCAAAACUCGGAAUAUCAAGAUGAGUUGCUUAUGUAAUGUGUUGCAAAUUAUACUUAUUUUCAAAUAUCUCUAUUUCAAGUUAAUCAUGUUGAAUUUGUGGAAAUGCUUUCGGAAUUAUUAAUAUAGGAGUAAUGUUAUUCUUACUACAAUUUUAUAUCACAUUUCUUUACUAUCUUAGGUUCUUAGGUGGCAGAUGAGUUGGACAAGCUACAUCAUUUAAUUUCAAUCUUUUUAUUAAUUAAAACACUUAAAUAAUCUUAGGUGACAGAAGAAGACUCUUCGUAUACCACAAUCAUCAUUUAAUUAAUUUUUUUAUUUAUUAAUUAUUGAUUAACAUUUUGAAAUUAAAUGCUAAAUUAAUUUAGUUGAUGUGGCUGUCCACAUCAGAUGCCACCUAAGGUGGUAUACAAUUAUGGUACAAAAAUAUGGUAAGAAUAAUAUUAUUGUUAAUAUAGUGAUAUGUGGAUAUUUGGAAUUGUUCAUGGAGCAUGAGAACUUUAGUGUUGCAUUAAUCUGAUGAAUAAAUGUAAACUGCACACAGGAACAUUAUGACAGAAUGGCCAAUAAGAAUCACGUGAUAAAUUAUUUGACAAGAUAGGUGCCAGACGAGCUGAGAUUGAGAUAGACAAGAGAUUUAAGAGUUUUCCUUAUUUUUGUACCCUCUGUAAGGAUUUUGUAUUAAUUACUUGUAUAAGAGAAGUUUUUAUUUUUCGUUUUUACUUUUUGGCUUCAUCACCCUUCGGGUGAUGGCCAUCACAUCACUAUUCGGGUGUUCAUGUGGACAUUCUGGAUUAGGGUGUGACAUUUUACACAACUUGUGACACAAGUUUUUCUAUGGCACCCUCCGUAAUGUAUAUAUCAACGAUUUGAACUGUCUAUCUUUUAAAACAUCAUUCA